Molecule: long non-coding RNA, 471 nt
Organism: Camellia sinensis
Lineage: Eukaryota; Viridiplantae; Streptophyta; Magnoliopsida; Ericales; Theaceae
Source: RefSeq, a predicted model, not a curated record
CACCAACCCAAUACCUCCUCUAAAGUCCAAACAAAGGUAGGAAUGGCAGCUAACAGUAACAGGGUUGGUGUUCUGUUUGUGCUUCUUGUGUGUGGGGUGUUUUUGUUGGGGGAGAAGCCGGAGUUGGCGAAUGCUAAAUUUUGCCCUGAAGAUUGCAGAAAAGCAGACUACAUGAAAUGCAAGUCAUCCGGUGAGAAGCGGCUCAGUCCGGCAUGCAACUGUUGCUUUGCUGGGAAGGGUUGCACCAUUUACUACUGUGAUGGAACCUCACAUAUCUGCUAAGAACAACAUUGCACCCUUCUUAUAUAUAUAUAUACAUAUAUAUAUGCAUGUUUGAAAAUAAUAAUGAGAUUACAAUCUCUUCUUUGUUUUUAUAUUUUUUGUAUUUUGGAGUUUGGACUUUGAUCAAUAACUAGCUUUCAUUAACUUUGAUCCCUAUGUCAUGUAAUCUACACUUUAUAAUUUAUCAUA